Molecule: transfer RNA, 61 nt
Filed under: Athyma disjuncta
Lineage: Eukaryota; Metazoa; Arthropoda; Insecta; Lepidoptera; Nymphalidae
Description: tRNA-Ser
Source: RNAcentral
GAAAUAUAUAAUAAUUAGGCUGCUAACUUAAUUUUUAGUGAAUAAAAUCAUUAAUAUUUCU